AGCUUAUCUAUGAUGUUCUAUAAAUAAAUGUCUGAACAUAUGACAACUAAUGAUUUCGUUUUUCUAACUGAGAUAAGCU
Non-coding RNA from Pelobates cultripes (western spadefoot toad), 79 nucleotides. NCBI's taxonomy places the organism in Eukaryota, Metazoa, Chordata, Amphibia, Anura, Pelobatidae. The record is from the annotation of a GenBank genome assembly.